GAUCCUGGCUCAGAAUCAACGCUGGCGGCGUGCCUAACACAUGCAAGUCGAACGCGAAAGCCCCGCAAGGSGUAAGUAGAGUGGCAAACGGGUGAGUAACACGUGGGUGACCUACCUUCGAGUGGGGGAUAACGUCCCGAAAGGGACGCUAAUACCGCAUGACAUCCUGCCUUUGAACACGUGGAGAUCAAAGCUGGGGAUCGCAAGACCUGGCGCUUGAAGAGGGGCCCGCGUCCGAUUAGCUAGUUGGUGGGGUAACGGCUCACCAAGGCGACGAUCRGUAUCCGGCCUGAGAGGGCGGGACGGACACACUGGGACUGAGACACGGCCCAGACUCCUACGGGAGGCAGCAG
RNAcentral lists this ribosomal RNA (353 nucleotides) under uncultured Acidobacteriota bacterium. RNAcentral describes it as "bacterial SSU rRNA". It matches the Rfam family "Bacterial small subunit ribosomal RNA", at positions 15 to 354 of the family's 1533-position model. The record is from RNAcentral. Lineage: Bacteria; Pseudomonadati; Acidobacteriota.